GUGUGAAUCCUGAAACUCUCCUCGUCCCUCCACGUGUAGUUUUUCAGGGGGUAUCGGAGUGCGAGCGCAGAAGAUGUCUGCGGAGGGAAGAGGGAUGCGUCACUGGAUUAGUGCCUGAGAAUCUGUCCCAGCCUCCUUCCUCCUGAGCUCGCUGAGACGCCUCCAAGAAGGGCACGAUACUCAACUGCUCGCUUUCCCUCCCGACCAAGCCUUCCACAUGAGCCAGCCAAGCCUUAGCUCCGCACCAGGAUGAAGAAAGAAAAGAAAACACAUGCUUUGCUCUUCCUCCUCCUGCUUCACUUCACCUUGGGGCAAUCAGAUUAUGCUCCAUAUUUUUAUGAUAAUGGUCCCAGCAGCACAAAUGGGAAUAUGGCCUUGUUCAGCAUUUCUGAGGAUACACCCAUCGGAACACUGAUAUACAUCCUGAAUGGCACAGAUCCAGAGGGGGAUCCGAUACGAUACGGGCUGACUUUUGAAAAAGGCUUCAAAGAAUAUUUUAGGGUGGAACCCAAAUCAGGAAACGUGACUCUGAUUCAGGAGCUUGACAGAGAGAAACAAGAUGAAAUCUCAGUGCUUGUGAGCAUAACGGACGGGCGCAAUAAAGUUGUUGAGACUGUGCGAGUGUUUAUCACGGACGCCAAUGAUGAGCCACCUGAAUUCCAAAAUCUGCCUUUCAUCAUUGAUGUUCCAGAGGACACUUCUCCAGGAACCAGCAUCUACAGAGUCCAAGCAGUGGAUAAAGAUAUGGGCUCAGGAGGCAGCGUAUCGUAUUAUCUGCAGACAUCCCCAUUGGCCAAGUUCACCAUUGAUGGACACAGCGGGAUCCUCAGAGUCAAACCCGGCGAGACGUUGGACUACGAGACGACACCAACACAUUUUGUGACAGUAGUUGCAAAGGAUGGAGGUGGAAAGUACAAGGGGAAGCACCAGGUGAUGACGUCCACAGCCACCAUCACAAUCAAUGUUAUUGAUGCCCAGGACAUGCCUCCAUCCUUUGUAGGAACACCAUACUUCGGCUACAUCUACGAAGUCUCGGUUCCUGGUUCUGAAAUAUUCACAGUGUAUGCUAAAGAUGGUGACCAGGGCAAUCCUAACCCCAUGCAUUACUCUAUUAUGGAUGGGAGUGAUGGUGUCUUUGACAUAAAUAGCACCAGUGGAUGCAUCACCUUGACAACACAUCCCUCUCUGCUGAAAAAUGAACUGUAUGAAAUUAAAGUCAAGGCGUCUGAGGUGGGACCAAACAAUCAGUUGCUGGACUAUGACGUUACCACAGUGACGGUCCGAGUGGUGGAUCUGAACAACCAUCCUCCGACUUUUUAUGGAGAAAACGGACCUCAGAGCAAGUUUGAGGUCACCAUGUACGAACAUCCACCUGCAGGGGAGAUCCUCCGAGGCUUUAAGAUCACAGUCAAUGACUCUGAUCAGGGAGCAAAUGCUAAAUUUAAACUGAGGCUAGUGGGGCCGAGCCGAGUGCUUCGAGUGGUUCCACAGACGGUUCUGAACGAAGCUCAGGUGACCAUCAUUGUGGAGGACACAUCUGGCAUCGACUAUGAAAAGGGACCAACCCUUUCUUUUAAGCUGCUGGCGGUGGAGAUCGACACCCCCGAGCGUUUCAGUGCGACGGCCGACAUAGUGAUCAACCUGCUGGACACAAACGACAACAUCCCCACGUUCACGUCCGAGUAUUACAUCACCAGGGUCCCUGAGAACUCUCCUGGAGGCUCCAGUGUUGUGUCUGUUACAGCAAAUGAUCCAGAUUCGGGGCCUUGGGGUGAAGUCAAGUACACGAUUUAUGGAUCAGGAUCAGAUUUGUUCGCCAUCCACCCUAUGUCAGGCCUCAUCUCCACGCAGCCCUGGACCAGCCUGGACGCAGAGGUCCGGUCCAAAUACAACUUCUACGUCAAGGCUGAGGAUUCGGAGGGGAAGUACAGUUUGGCUGAAGUCUUCGUCACCGUGCUCGACAUGAACGACCACUCUCCGAUAUUUGACGACAAACUCCUGGAGAAGACCAUGAUUAUUGGCACACCGGUCAAAGUAGAGGCAGUGGAUGAAGACGCAGAGUCUCCCAACAAUGUCAUUGAAUACUCCAUCAUGACAGCCGACCCUGACAACGCGUUUGACAUCAACGCCAACACCGGUGAGAUCCAGCUAAAGCCCUACAUCAAGUCCAUGGAGAUAGUGCAGAACAUCACCAAGCAGAAGGACUGCAAGUGGUCUCUGGUGGUCCAGGCCAGGGACCGAGGCUCUCCGUCCUUCAGCACAACAGCAGUGGUCAACAUCGACAUCACGGAGGCGGAGGGAUGUCCCAGGCAGGAAAACCUCCAACCCUGUACAUGUCCCCACCAGAUCUUCCCCCAUAUGACCUUCACACUGAGACAAGGUGAAAUAAUGAAGAAAUGAGAUAGGAAAUGUGAUUAAAAAAAAACAACAGCUUACUAUCAGCUAUCAUGUCUAGAAGACGUUUGGAUACAUUACAACUUUUAAACUGGCCUGUUUUUUGUUGUUGCUUUGCUGCAGCAGUGAAAAAGAAAAAAAUAGAAACAGUAGUGUGUAAAAAUACUACAAUACAAGUAAAGUUAACUUUCACCAUAGCAUUUUAAUGCAUGUUUAUAGUUACUUUCCAUAAUUAUAGACACGUUUUAGCUGUAUCGUACUAAAUAUAAAAAAGCAGAUCAGCAAAGAAAUGCAUCUGGCGUCAGUAUUUCCUUCUGAAAUGUUGAAAAAAAAGCCAAAAUUCUACUAAAAUAAAAGCAUCCCAGCCUGCCAGAACCUACAAACAGGAGUUGAUUUAACAGACUGAAUUGCUCUUGUUUCAUUUUUGCCAUCUUGCUCCAGGUUUUUCAGUACGAAUGCAAAUUCAACAGUGAAACCUUUGUUUCAUUGCAAAACCGACAGAUUAUGUUGGAGUAAUUAACUAUGUGCCAAUGGACUAAUGUUUAACCACUGCAGUUUAGAAAAAUAUUAGAAGCAGAGUAUUCAGGUCAACUGUAGCUGUGGGUUUUAUUACUAAGCUUUGUUUGUAGCUACACAUGAAGAAGAGAUUCCAACUGAGAAGUUAAGAAAACAGUUCUGUCCUCAUGUCUGGCCUUAGAAUAAGGCUGGCACUGACUUUAAUGAGGAAUAUCAUGCAACUGGCACAUUUUAUUCCAUAUUUAAAACUGUUUUUGGUUAUUUUAGUGCUUGUAAAUCUUUUUUGUUUGUCGAUAAUAGUGCAAAAUGGAAAAAUAAACUUCCUAAAGUUUAGAUUCCACUUUAUACCAGACGAUCAAUCCGCUGCAUUCACUGUUGUGUCGGCUCAGACCUGUUUCACCACACUCAGCUGCAGUAGAUUAACAGAUUGUGUUAUUGAAUCAUUUGAAUUGCGAAACUGGCACCGUGUCGCUUUAUGCUCCUGUACAGCGUCACGCUGCUGCCUCAGUCUCCGACUUUUACAGACCUCUUGUUGGGAUUUAGGGCAGCACGCAAACACUCGGAUACAUGAAUCAGAUGCUCCGACUUGUCAGUUUAUCUGUGAGACAUCAGCAGUUUUGAGGCCCCAUGUGUCGGAGCAGCAGAUGCUGAAUGUGACGGAGGCUGGAACUGGAUGCUUCACUCAGGACAAUAUGGGCAGUUUGAGAAAAGGGUAUUAUAAGUCCACUGGGACACAUCAUUACUUCAUAGUUAAUGAGUUUGUGGUAAUCUGUGGACAGAUUAGUGGUGCAAUCAGACUUUGCCCAAAUGUUGCAUUUUAAAAGGUUCAGGCUGCUGCAGGAGCCAAAGGUCACUUCUCUGUUGUCCUAGUUUAGAUGGGUUAUUUGGUCAGCGGUUUGAGAAGGAUAAACAAGUAAAUAAAUGGGUUCCUGAUGCUUUCACUUACUUUAUUACUCGACCUUUUGCAGUCGGUGUUGCUUAGAAGAGAAAUCCACUGUUUUUGUAGCUCAAAAUAAAAGAAACAAAAGAGACUGUGUAGUAAUCUGCCAAUUUAACUGUCAUAUGUUGUACUUCAGUGGCAUUAAACUAUAAAAAGAUGUUGAUUAUCGUGAUAUAAAUACUUUUGUCAUUGUGACUAAGCUUGUUUAACACACAAACUUUACAACAAAUGUAAUUAUGUGCUGGUGUUUGAGUGCAAAGUCACUCACUGCUCAUUUGUGUUGAUAGCAGUCAGAAUAAACAGAUGGCAUUAGAAGGAAGUGAAAGGUUCAGUGUGUCAUUGUAAUGUGCAAUAUUUAAUUUUUCAUGAGAAAUCUUCCAAUUUCAUGCUGAAUAUUUCAUCAUCAUGUGUAAUGUUUUACUAUUUCAUUAUCAUUGCCAGUAUUCCUUCUGACUUUUAUGUUCUAUAGUCUCAUUUUAGCUUACACAUUUUGUUUUUAUUCAUUAUUUUUUCAGUAAGGUAUGUACCCCUUAUGGCUUUUAUACUAGGCACAGCAUUUCCUAACAGUAUGUAAAUUUGUUUUCUGAGCAAUAUCUAGCAAAAGAAUUUCCUUUGGGGUUAAUAAAGUGUUUUUGUUAUGUUAUGUUGGUCCAAGAAAUGUAUGUUUGUGAAGCAGAUAAAAGUUGUGCUGUGAUGUUGUAUUGUGAUAUCUUAGCAGUGACCACCAACACUGCAGACAGUUAUUCUGAGACAAGAAAACAUUCGAGUUUCCUGAUGCUGCAGGAGUUUAUUGUACACAGGUUCACUCUGCUGAGAAAAAGGCAGUUUUAAUGCCCAUGUGUCAAAUUGCCCCUCCAAAAUGCCUGUUCUAAACUUUGGUCCUUUUUUUUCUUUACAGCAGUGUGCAAAGAUUUAAUCGACUAAUAUGAACAGUUGAGUGAGAGAAUAAUUUGAUCUCCAACACACAAGAAGGUAAUACCAUUUUGAGGAAAGGAGCUUCACACAAAAGUUUGCAAGAGAUCUGAGCCCUAAGAUAAUAGCAGCCAAGCUCUCAGACCCAAAUUAGUUUGUUUCGAUUAUGGCAUGUUCACAGUCAACAUUUGGAAAGACCAAGUCAUGCAGAUUUCAGAGCUUUAUUACAAAGCCAAGGAACGACAGAGUUAUGUGACGAUCGGCGUACGUUUGUCUGUGAAUCUGUCUGUCUGUCAGUGUGAAACAUUACUCAAAAAUGGACUAAAUUUUUAGUGGAGGUCAGAAAUGACACAAGGACCACCUCAUUAAAUUUCCACAGUGAUGCGGCUUAUAGUCUGGAUCCACGGCUUUGUUAAGGAUUUCCCAUUGCCAGAUAUAGCUGCCGGCUGUAACCAUGACAACAAGUGAACACUGUGUCAGUUACCUGCUGACAAUCACAUGAUUGCGAUCCUACUACAAAAUGACUGACAUCAGUGGAAAUCAUCCAAGGAACAAAUGAUUAAACUGUGGGAUGUUUCUGAGUCCCGCUACAUAUUUAGGUCAUGUAUGUAGCAAAACCCAGCCAGACCAUGGUGAAGCUCCUGAUGUUUCACAAAGCCUUUAUUUACGUUCAGCCGUCAGCCUUAUUUUGAACACAAAUUCACCUUUCUGUCCUUCACUCCUUUCUUCAGGAAACACUGUCAGAGCUUGUCUCCAUUCCAGCUGCUUCUAAGUUUAGACACAUCCUUUACUAGACAGCAACAGCUGGAACCGUUUUCUUUCAACUUCAUGUGAAUUUUCGGACUUUUCGGCGUCUUUGUCAUGUCAAGAGACCGCUUCUUACAUAAACAUUUCCUGUGCCGUUGGAAUGGUGACAAAAUAAAAGCCCGUAACAUUAAAAAAAAAAAUACGCCUUCAAAAUAAAAGCAUGGAGGGAACAGUUAUUUUAACACUAGCAAAACAAAGGCUUUGCAAAAGUGAUGAACUGAUCAACUGACCUUUAUAAGAGUAAUUUACACGUGAUUCGGUAACCAUACAUAACAUUCACAUACAUAACACGUGCCUGUGCUCAGCACAAGUUCAUUUUUUAUUAAAUAUUUCAUCCAUCAGAAAUGACACGUCAACUGAGCAGCCUUGGCGGAGUACUGCGCUCUCUGAGUGCUUUUCUAGUAAUUUAGUAAGUUGGCCAAAAUGUGACGAAAACGUCAUAUGUCGUCAUAUGUCAUAUGUCGUCUAAAAUAUCACAGUAAUGUCAUAGUUUAGUAUGUUGUCCAACAUGUCGUAAACUGGUGCCCAGGUAGCUCAACUGGUUGAGAGGGUGACUCAUAAACACGACUCUGUCAGAGACGCAAUUUCGAUUUCAGCUCAUAGCCCUUUGCUGCAGGUCUUCCCUGCUUUCCUCUCUACUUACCUAUUGAAUAAAACCAACAACAAGGCCCAAAAAACAACUUUGACAAAAAUGUCAUAGUUUAGUAUGCGGACCAAAAUAUCACAAACAUGUCAUUGUUCAGUAUGUCGUCCAACAAGUGGAAAACAGGUGCCCAGGUAGCUCAAUUGGUUGAGAGGGUGUCUCAUAAACAGGACUGCAUCACAGGUGCAAGUUUGACUCCAGCUUGUGGCCCUUCAUUGCACAUCUUCCCUGCUUUCCUGUCUACAUACCUAUUGAAUAAAACCAACAAAAGGGCCCAAAAAACAUCAUAGUUUAGUAUGUUGUCCAAAACGUGGAAAAAACAUCAUAGUUUAGUAUGUCGUUGAAAAUAUCACUAAAUUGUCAGUUUAGUGUGUCUAAACUUUGACGUUUUAGUGAACUGAGCAACCUUGACGGAGUACUGCACUCUCCGAGUGCUUUUCUAGUUAAUACUUUGAUCCCUCAACCGUUGUCCCAACAGUUAGCUGCCAUGGACUCCUCUCAGCAGUUUAGACUGCUCUAACUUUAAAAAUUAAAACAAUUAAUGCCCACAAAGCAGGAGAAACUAUAAGAAUAUAGCAAAAUGCUUUAAGGUAGCUGUUCCCUCAGUUCCUAAUGUACUUAAGACAUGAUUGUUUAUAUGGUCAGGUCUGGAAGACCAAGAAAACCUUCAGAGAGAACAGCUAACUACCUGUUUGACUGGUAAAGACUUUCGGGAAGGUUAAUAAGACCCUGGUAUGAGAGUUCACUGUUCUGCUGCACAGCAACACCUGCACAAAUAUGACCUUCAUGGAAGAGUCAUCAGCACAAAACCUUUCCUGCAUUCAAUGCAAAAUUUGGCAGCAGAAGUUUGCAAUUGAGCAUCUAAGUAUUCCUGGGACAUUUUAGAAACAGAACUUUUUGGCCAGAUUAAGCAACGGUAUGUGUGCAGAUAAGGGUGCAGAAUUUCAUGAGAAGAGCACCAACUGUUCAGCAGCCAAUGGAAAACAUUUCAGACUUUAUUUGUCUCAAUAUGAUAAGAUGGAACCUUAUUUAUCCUCAAGGAUAUUCUUGAAAAAAUGGAAGCAAACAUCACUGAGGAGGAUAGCUUCUACAACAGGAUAAUGAUCCAAAACAAACUUCUAAAUCUACAAUAGUUUACCUUAAGAGGCACAAGCUGGAGGUUUUGCAAUGGUCCUCACAGUCCUUUGACCUGAACAUCAACAAAAAUCUGACAAAAGUCCUCAGACGAGCUUAAGCAAGGAGGAACGAGUGAAAUUCCCCUUAAACAAGAAUUGGAAGAAUCUUAGUUGCUAAGGAAAGUAUUUACAAGCUGUUACACUUGCCAAAAAGUUGCCUUACUAAGUACUGACCAUGCAAGGUGCCAAAACGUUUGCUUUGGAGUCUUUUAACUUGUAGAAAUUUAGUGAUGAAGGAUAUAAAUUUCCUAGAAAGAAAAGAAAAUGUAACUGGUCCGUGUAUAUUUUGGCAAUUGGAUUUUCCGUUCUGAAACGGGUAUUGAAAAACAAAAAACAAGUGGUUAUUUGAUUUUCGUUUCAAAAUACAAAAAUUAAAAAUGAAAUACAAGGCAUUUUUCCUUUUCAUUAUCAAAAAGGGAUACACGAAAUUUUAAAAAUGCUUUGAUUUUCAUUUCAUAUUUAGAAUAACAAAAAAGUAAAAUCAGCAAGUGACAGAAACGAAAAAAGGUCCGUUUUUUCAUUUUCUGAGACCGGAAGUGGUCAUCAGCAAGUGUGGAGCCAAACAGAGCAUGGUGCAUUGACUGUAUAUCAUUUUUUUCGUUAGUUUUCAUGGCCAAAAUGAGAGAUCAGGUGGCCGAUCUUAAAAUAAAUCAAUAUUGAUUUUUUUUAUAGAGAGCGUUAAAGUUUUGCGAAGCCAGGGGGCGGGGCUACUUUAUUGACAGUCUGGUCUGGAAUGAUUGACAGGUCCUACGGAGGAGGCAGCAGAGACUCUGCUCUCCUCAUUUGGAUUAAUUCUGAUAUAAUAACUGUUGGUUUAUUUAUCGGUGCAGCAGCAGAACAUUUUCCACAGACAGUUUUCCUGCCCGUUGGCUUGUUUUAACCAGUUUUCUGCCUUCGGCUGAUUCUACCAGCAGACACUGAAAAGACUCUGAUAGUUCGGUAAGUUAAUGUUUAUUUUCGUAUCGGUGCCGCUUUUAAUGUACUUUAUAUGCAGCUGUAGUGUCAGAUAUAAUGUGUGCCAUGCAGUCAAGAUGUUGGUGGAGUUUAUUUCUGUGUGUGUUGACCAGAGAAGAGAGUUAGCAUCUGGUAAAUAUUAGUUUUAUUGUUAGCGAUGCUAACCGAGCUAGCUGCUCAGUCGUAGUCUGAUUAAAGCUAACGUAGCAUUAAGCUAUCGUAGCAUAAACUAACGUAGCAUCAAGCUAACGAUGUUUGUGUUGAGUUUCAUGUAAACAGCUGAAGUGUGUUGUGUUACUGUAAUGUAGUGCAUUUAGUGAAUAAAACUGUUCAUGGAGACGCUGGUUCACGUUAAUAUAACGUUAAGAAAAUCUAAAUGUGACUAAAACAGUAAGAUUAAGGUUCUGUGUUGUCAGUAGGUCGGACUUGAUGUUUGAAAUCCUGACCGACAGCUCAGAUUUAACUGUCUGUAGUUCUGUUUUGAUGGAUGUUAAAUUUUCACUCAAAGUCGCCAGGAGCUGGGUCUUUAAAAUAACCGCCGUCUUGUUACAGAGUGAAAGUAACAGUUCCUCCUGAAGGUCAGAGAUCGCAGCAUCUGAGGGCCUCUUCAAAAGAAGAUGUAGUUGAUGAAGGCGUUCUGGAGCAGGACCAGAAAGACCACGACCAAGCAGCCUUGAGAUCUUAGACAGCGUCUCCCUGAGGUCCCUCUCUAUCUCCCCACACAUCCACCAACCACUGGAACACAUCCCCAAAGUUCUGCCGGGCCAGCUCAGCUUCCCCUCAGAAGAAGUGCCGCCACCUGCCAGAUGAAGGAGCCUUUUGAGAGGCAGCUGGCAUCGUGAUUGGACUGUACUUUGGUCUGUUCCAAUCCAGCUUCAGCUCCAGAGACGGCAGGCGGGACGAGUCAACGGAGGCCGGGUGGACGAAGACAUGCAACUGAGUACAAUCCAGAAAACAACAGAGGAGGAGUGCAGGGCCAGAACAACCAGAGUAGCAUGGUAUGUCUCUUAGAAAACAUCAUAGUAUAGCCUUUGGGAUGAAAAAAACGGCAUCAUAUACAUUGUAUAUUGUACAAAUAACAAGUCAAAGGAAAGAGACAUACAUUGUAGAAUUGUAGUAAUUGUGGACUGACUGAUUUACUGAUUAUCAGUAUUUUAUUGUUACUGAUUUACGGUAAUAAAUACAUUUAAAAAUG
This is an RNA transcript of Amphiprion ocellaris (clown anemonefish), 9536 nucleotides long. It is a transcript of the gene named cadherin-related family member 1, with no coding region annotated. The record is from RefSeq and is a predicted model, not a curated record. The transcript has 18 exons. NCBI's taxonomy places the organism in Eukaryota, Metazoa, Chordata, Actinopteri, Pomacentridae.